This 269-nucleotide ribosomal RNA is filed under the name uncultured prokaryote. RNAcentral describes it as "partial 16S ribosomal RNA". It matches the Rfam family "Bacterial small subunit ribosomal RNA", at positions 524 to 792 of the family's 1533-position model. The record is from RNAcentral.
UACGGAGGUGGCAAGCGUUGCUCGGAAUCACUGGGCAUAAAGGGCGUCUAGGCGGAUUGGUAAGUCGGUUGUGAAAUCCCUCGGCUCAACCGAGGAACUGCAGCCGAUACUGCCGGUCUUGAGGACGAGAGGGGAGAGUGGAACUCCUGGUGGAGCGGUGAAAUGCGUAGAUAUCAGGAGGAACGCCGGCGGCGAAAGCGACUCUCUGGCUCGUUCCUGACGCUGAAGCGCGAAAGCCAGGGGAGCGAACGGGAUUAGAUACCCCCGUA